Molecule: unclassified non-coding RNA, 374 nt
Filed under: uncultured fungus
Lineage: Eukaryota; Fungi
Description: sequence contains ITS1
Rfam family: 5.8S ribosomal RNA (bases 1-106)
Source: RNAcentral
AAACUGCGAUACGUAGUGUGAAUUGCAGAAUUCAGUGAAUCAUCGAAUCUUUGAACGCAAAUUGCGCUGUUGGGCUAUUCCCGACAGCAUGCUUGGCUGAGUAUCAUCUGGACAAAUCGAAUCAUGUCUUUUUUCGAUGUGGUUCGGAUAUGAGGUUGUCGCAAUCAGUAAUAUGAAGGCGUCCCUUCAAGUCUAGUAGUAUUGGCAUGCAAAUUGCUAAUUUCAAUAUGCAAAUCAUGUCUUUUGCCGUUCAGUGUGUUAAGUGUUAUAUUUAAUACAACACAUGAGCACUGAUGACAACGGUAAUAAUGUGCAUUUUUUGUGAAAAGCAAAAUUUUGAUCUCAGCUCAAGCAAGACUACCCGCUGAAUUUAA